GGGGUAUAGUUCUUCGGAAUUAGAGACCGGCGCACGGGUGCGUAACGCGUAUGCAAUCUACCUUUUACAGAGGGAUAGCCCAGAGAAAUUUGGAUUAAUACCUCAUAGUAUAACUGAACCGCAUGGUUCUAUUAUUAAAGUCACAACGGUAAAAGAUGAGCAUGCGUCCCAUUAGCUAGUUGGUAAGGUAACGGCUUACCAAGGCUACGAUGGGUAGGGGUCCUGAGAGGGAGAUCCCCCACACUGGUACUGAGACACGGACCAGACUCCUACGGGAGGCAGCAGUGAGGAAUAUUGGACAAUGGGCGCAAGCCUGAUCCAGCCAUGCCGCGUGCAGGAUGACGGUCCUAUGGAUUGUAAACUGCUUUUAUACGAGAAGAAACACUACUUCGUGAAGUAGCUUGACGGUAUCGUAAGAAUAAGGAUCGGCUAACUCCGUGCCAGCAGCCGCGGUAAUACGGAGGAUCCAAGCGUUAUCCGGAAUCAUUGGGUUUAAAGGGUCCGUAGGCGGUUUAAUAAGUCAGUGGUGAAAGCCCAUCGCUCAACGGUGGAACGGCCAUUGAUACUGUUAAACUUGAAUUAUUAGGAAGUAACUAGAAUAUGUAGUGUAGCGGUGAAAUGCUUAGAGAUUACAUGGAAUACCAAUUGCGAAGGCAGGUUACUACUAAUAUAUUGACGCUGAUGGACGAAAGCGUG
This 696-nucleotide ribosomal RNA is filed under the name Flavobacterium sp. Its description in RNAcentral is "bacterial SSU rRNA". It matches the Rfam family "Bacterial small subunit ribosomal RNA", at positions 66 to 763 of the family's 1533-position model. The record is from RNAcentral. Lineage: Bacteria; Pseudomonadati; Bacteroidota; Flavobacteriia; Flavobacteriales; Flavobacteriaceae.